UGAACCUGAGGAAGGAUCAUUCGCACGCAUCCAAUUGAAUCACCGUGAAUAAAUCGCGUGAGUUUGUGGGUGGAGGUGGAGAUUAUAUCGAAACCUUCAUGCAGAAACUCGAGGGCGGCAGGGCAGGGAGGGAGACUUUGAGCAUGCCCUCGGGUGUGACUCUCUGCUCGGCUUCUUGUCUUGUCGUCACUUUCUCCUGCAUCAGGAUCUUACUCCUACAUUCUUUCUGAGUGGAUUUCCACUUCAUUCUUUUACAACUUUCAGCGACGGAUGUCUCGGCUCGAACAACGAUGAAGGGCGCAGCGAAGUGUGAUAAGCAUUGUGAAUUGCAGAAUUCCGUGAACCAAUAGGGAUUUGAACGUACACUGCGCUUUCGGGAUAUCCCUGAAAGCAUGCCUACUUCAGUGUCUACUCCAUCUAAUGCCAGUGUCUAAUUCUACUUCGUGUGGAUUGGGCACUUGUGCGUCUUUGUGUGUUAGGGUGCUUUGCCCCUGACGCAUUCAAUGUAUGGGGAUUUGUUUGCGAUGCACAACUUGCUAAGCGUCUUUGAUGCCUCUUGUUGUUGCAAUUGUGACAUUGUCCCUGCCCUCUCUGGUCAUUGC
Molecule: ribosomal RNA, 602 nt
Filed under: Gymnodinium fuscum
Lineage: Eukaryota; Dinophyceae; Gymnodiniales; Gymnodiniaceae
Description: eukaryotic LSU rRNA
Rfam family: 5.8S ribosomal RNA (bases 256-410)
Source: RNAcentral